Molecule: ribosomal RNA, 301 nt
Filed under: uncultured bacterium
Lineage: Bacteria
Description: partial 16S ribosomal RNA
Rfam family: Bacterial small subunit ribosomal RNA
Source: RNAcentral
CAGUCGCCACGGGAAUACAGAGGGUGCAAGCGUUAAUCGGAAUUACUGGGCGUAAAGCGCGCGUAGGUGGUUUGUUAAGUCGGAUGUGAAAUCCCCGGGCUCAACCUGGGAACUGCAUCCGAAACUGGCAAGCUAGAGUAUGGUAGAGGGUAGUGGAAUUUCCUGUGUAGCGGUGAAAUGCGUAGAUAUAGGAAGGAACACCAGUGGCGAAGGCGACUACCUGGACUGAUACUGACACUGAGGUGCGAAAGCGUGGGGAGCAAACAGGAUUAGAUACCCCGGUAGUCCCUGUCUCUUAUAC